This 427-nucleotide ribosomal RNA is filed under the name uncultured bacterium. Its description in RNAcentral is "partial 16S ribosomal RNA". It matches the Rfam family "Bacterial small subunit ribosomal RNA", at positions 355 to 774 of the family's 1533-position model. The record is from RNAcentral.
UGGGGAAUAUUGCACAAUGGGCGCAAGCCUGAUGCAGCCAUGCCGCGUGUAUGAAGAAGGCCUUCGGGUUGUAAAGUACUUUCAGCGGGGAGGAAGGCGAUAAGGUUAAUAACCUUGUCGAUUGACGUUACCCGCAGAAGAAGCACCGGCUAACUCCGUGCCAGCAGCCGCGGUAAUACGGAGGGUGCAAGCGUUAAUCGGAAUUACUGGGCGUAAAGCGCACGCAGGCGGUCUGUCAAGUCGGAUGUGAAAUCCCCGGGCUCAACCGGGGAACUGCAUUCGAAACUGGCAGGCUAGAGUCUUGUAGAGGGGGGUAGAAUUCCAGGUGGAGCGGUGAAAUGCGUAGAGAUCUGGAGGAAUACCGGUGGCGAAGGCGGCCCCCUGGACAAAGACUGACGCUCAGGUGCGAAAGCGUGGGGAGCAAACA